Molecule: signal recognition particle RNA, 304 nt
Filed under: Zalophus californianus (California sea lion)
Lineage: Eukaryota; Metazoa; Chordata; Mammalia; Carnivora; Otariidae
Description: Metazoan signal recognition particle RNA (ENSZCAG00015023931.1)
Rfam family: Metazoan signal recognition particle RNA
About the family: The signal recognition particle (SRP) is a universally conserved ribonucleoprotein.
Source: RNAcentral
GCCGGGCACGGUGGCGCGCGCCUAUAGUCCCAGCUACUCGGGAGGCUGAGGCAGGAGGAUCGCUUGAGCCCAGGAGUUCUGGGCUGCAGUGUGCUAUGCCGAUCGGGUGUCCGCACUAAGUUUGGCAUCAAUAUGGUGACCUCCUGGGAGCGGGGGACCACCAGGUUGCCUAAGGAGGGGUGAACCGGCCCAGGUCGGAAACGGAGCAGGUCAAAAAUGUGCAAGGCAUUCUCAAAGCCACACAGGGGAUGGGCCAUGGGAGGAGGAGGAGCAUUCCCUGGGCUCAGGAAAUUGGUGGACUCAG